UCUUUAAUUGGAAGUUUAUUAUUAAUUAUUUGUGUAUUGGUAAGUGUGGCUUUUUUAACGUUAUUAGAACGAAAAGUUUUAGGUUAUAUUCAAAUUCGUAAGGGUCCUAAUAAACUUGGAUUAAUAGGAAUUCCUCAACCUUUUUG
Molecule: long non-coding RNA, 146 nt
Organism: Drosophila montana
Lineage: Eukaryota; Metazoa; Arthropoda; Insecta; Diptera; Drosophilidae
Exons: 2
Source: RefSeq, a predicted model, not a curated record